This is a non-coding RNA of Pelobates cultripes (western spadefoot toad), 235 nucleotides long. Lineage: Eukaryota; Metazoa; Chordata; Amphibia; Anura; Pelobatidae. The record is from the annotation of a GenBank genome assembly.
CAUACCAUUUGCAAAAGUAGACAACCCAAGGUAUUACAAAUAGGGUAUGUCCAGUCUUUUUUCUUAGCCACUUAGUCACAAACACUGGCCAAAGUUAGUGUUCAUAUUUGUUGAGCGUGAAAAAUGCAACACUAAAGUGAACGCUAAUUUUGGCCAGUGUUUGUGACUGAGAGGCUACUAAAAAAAAAAAAGACUGGACAUGCCCCUUGGGUUGUCUACUUUUGCAAAUGGUAUG